This 492-nucleotide ribosomal RNA is filed under the name uncultured bacterium. Its description in RNAcentral is "bacterial SSU rRNA". It matches the Rfam family "Bacterial small subunit ribosomal RNA", at positions 903 to 1397 of the family's 1533-position model. The record is from RNAcentral.
AAAUGAAUUGACGGGGGCCCGCACAAGCAGUGGAGUAUGUGGUUUAAUUCGAAGCAACGCGAAGAACCUUACCAGGGCUUGACAUCCCUCGAAAACUGUGGAAACACGGAGUUCCUACGGGACGAGGAGACAGGUGGUGCAUGGUUGUCGUCAGCUCGUGUCGUGAGAUGUUGGGUUAAGUCCCGCAACGAGCGCAACCCCUGUUGUUAGUUGCCAUCAGGUAAAGCUGGGCACUCUAACGAGACUGCCGGUGACAAAUCGGAGGAAGGUGGGGAUGACGUCAAAUCAUCAUGCCCCUUAGGUUCUGGGCUACACACGUACUACAAUGGCUGUUACAGAGGGGAGCUAAGCCGCAAGGCGGAGCAAAUCCCAAAAAACAGUCUCAGUUCGGAUUGUGGGCUGCAACCCGCCCGCAUGAAGUCGGAAUUGCUAGUAAUGGCAGGUCAGCAUACUGCCGUGAAUACGUUCCCGGGCCUUGUACACACCGCCCGU